Molecule: ribosomal RNA, 253 nt
Filed under: uncultured bacterium
Lineage: Bacteria
Description: partial 16S ribosomal RNA
Rfam family: Bacterial small subunit ribosomal RNA
Source: RNAcentral
UACGUAGGUGGCAAGCGUUGUCCGGAUUUAUUGGGUUUAAAGGGUGCGUAGGUGGUCUAUUAAGUCAGUGCUGAAAUAUCCCGGCUUAACCGGGAGGGUGGCAUUGAUACUGAUGGACUUGAGUAGAGUUGAGGUAGGCGGAAUUGACGGUGUAGCGGUGAAAUGCUUAGAUAUCGUCAAGAACACCGAUAGCGAAGGCAGCUUACUAAGCUCAAACUGACGCUGAUGCACGAAAGUGUGGGGAUCAAACAGG